AGUGAACGCUGGCGGCGUGCUUAACACAUGCAAGUCGAACGAGAACGGAUUAUAGCUUGCUAUAAUUGUCAGCUAAGUGGCGCACGGGUGAGUAAUGUAUAGAUAACCUGCCCUCUAGAAAGGAAUAACAGUUGGAAACGACUGCUAAUGCCCUAUAUGCCUUUAAUACAUAAGUAUGCAAGGGAAACGCUUUAGUGCUAGAGGAUGGGUCUGUAUGGUAUCAGCUAGUUGGUGAGGUAAUGGCUCACCAAGGCUAUGACGCCUAACUGGUUUGAGAGGAUGAUCAGUCACACUGGAACUGAGACACGGUCCAGACUCCUACGGGAGGCAGCAGUGGGGAAUAUUGCACAAUGGACGAAAGUCUGAUGCAGCAACGCCGCGUGGAGGAUGACACAUUUCGGUGCGUAAACUCCUUUUAUAUAGGAAGAUAAUGACGGUACUAUAUGAAUAAGCACCGGCUAACUCCGUGCCAGCAGCCGCAGUAA
Molecule: ribosomal RNA, 485 nt
Filed under: uncultured bacterium
Lineage: Bacteria
Description: partial 16S ribosomal RNA
Rfam family: Bacterial small subunit ribosomal RNA
Source: RNAcentral